Molecule: long non-coding RNA, 3572 nt
Organism: Lolium rigidum
Lineage: Eukaryota; Viridiplantae; Streptophyta; Magnoliopsida; Poales; Poaceae
Exons: 2
Source: RefSeq, a predicted model, not a curated record
UGGCCAUGGCAGCAAGGCCAAAGCGAUAAAAACCUGAUGAGUGCGCUUGCAAGAUCAAUAAUCCUAUUGUUUAAUACACAGAUUUGUACCUUGAUGAGUGCGCUUGCAGAUGCACAACUUGUUUUCUUCCAAAGCUGCUCAUAUAAGGUGUUUUUCUCUAGAUAUCAUAGAUCUGAUCAUAUAGUGGCAUAUAUGCUUCUUGCUCAUGAUUAAUUACAACAACUGAAAACAUUUUUUGCCGCUGAAAGCCAGUCCUUUUGUACCCUUGCAUUGGGAUAAUUAUUUACACAUGAAUUAUAUUGAUCUAAGAAUCCGACCACUGGAUAUAUAGAGAUGAGUAGUAUGAUUGUUAUUUUUAAUUAAUAAAAUAACGUUUGUACUCCGAUUGGGCUUAAUGUCACUGGUCACAGCAAUAUACUUGUUUCGCUUCGUAGCAAUCACUCUAGCUAUAUUUAAUAGUGUUAUCAUUUUAAGCACCUCAUAAGCUAUUACAUCCUAAUUUGUCCUUAAUCACUGGUACUAUUUUGAUUUCCCUUCCAAAUCUUGAAUAAAAAGUGUGACGUACAGUGCUCUCAAAUAAAAGGUAAAAAUAGAAGCAUAGAACUGCAAAGUUGCAUACUGCUCUCCAAGAAUCUCUGACUCAGUGUUUUGAUUCAGUAGGAAUGCUUUUUAGAUAAUAUAGGAGACUGGGAGGUUCCAUUCUUUGGUCUCUCAGUGGCAUUUUCUAGGGAGUUAUCCGCUGUAAAUUUCACAUAUUUAUCCAGAGGCCACAAUCUCUCCAAUGUGAUCAUGUGCUGUUACGACAAGUGAUUAGUUAUGAAAGUUCCUACAUGCUUCUCAGUCAUGCCAUUUGCUUCAAAUUAGUUAUAGCUGGGAACUUGAUUUGAAAAACAGUAUGAUCAGUUCUUGCUUCUUUAUAUCUAGUAUCUCUUUCAAUUUUAUUUUUCUCUCACUUGCUGUACUCUAGCAAGAGGUUCAUGCCGCCUUUGCGUUUUUCUAGGAGAUGGUGCCACACUGGAAUCUGUUCCAGAUCUUGUGAAGGCAAUGUAUGUAAACAUUGAGAGCUUCCCUUGUGUGAGGCUGCUGAAUCUUUCUGGUGAAAUCGGCUGCUCUAGUGAGUAUCUUGGUCUGCCCUUAUGAGUAGACUGAAAUUGUGUUUCGUCAAAAGAAACUGUGAUUCCUCGAAAGAAAUUGUGAGGGUAUUCCUAUGACUGAAUCAGAUAGCUCCAUUGGAAUGCCGUAGUGUUUUGUCUGAACAAUGCUCAUCUGCUUGGUAUUGUAAUGUCUUCACGAUACUACGAUAGUGGAUUGGCGCUUGUCAACUACAGUAGCAAUCUUGAAAACUGGAGAUGUGACAUUGUGGGACUCAGUUGGCAUGAAUCCAAGUUUGCUAGGUUCUCUAGUUCCCCCCUUUCAAAUAGAACUCAAUUUAUUCCUGUAAAAGAGCUGGAUGUUUAAGUAAAAGAGAAGUGGAUUUUCUUUGAAUAAUGUUUGUCUCUUUCCUUCUAUGUAACAUCAACUGUUUGCAUGUCCUUUGUUCUUUCCUUGUCUAUAUAUCGCUAGGACCUGGGAGAAGAGCCUAAUGUCAAGUUUAAUGUGGAUAUUUAGGUGCUAUUGUCUUUAGUUAACCAGAUUAGGUUACCUAUAAUGCACAUAGUAAUGGCUAAUAAGAUGCAAAAUAUUUAUGUAAUGUUAACUUGGUCUUGAUCCUUCCUUCUAUGUAGCAUGCUAGAAAAGUUAAUCCAUUUUGUUGGGUCAACAUUUAUUACAAUUUCUCAUUUCUCCUUCGCUUUCCUGCAAUAACAUUUUCAUUUUCAGGUUUGACACCGUCUAUUUGGAUGAUGAAAUCCGUGUGGCGAAGGACAUAAGAGGGUACUACUUAGUAGUUGAGCGUGCUCCAUGUUCUUGGAAUGGAUAGUUUGCGAAAUUUAGAAGUUGCUCAGUGUCCACAUACUUUAUACUCUGUGACAGGAAGAUGUGCAGUAUCUUAUGGUUUUCCAGCAAAGUAUUUACCAUCUUGCUAGCUAGGCCCUCAUUUUUACUAUGGAACUAGCUGAAUUCCUCAUGCAACUAUGCGGCUAGAUGUACAGGUAACACCAUUUGUAAAAAUUACAGGUUUCAACAAGAAAGUUCUGGUUACAUCUCAAUGGCAAUUAACUGUAUCAUAUUCUUGCAAAUAAAGAGGUACCAUUCCUACUGUUACAGAAUCAAAUAAGACUUUUGUUUUCUUACUAUUUACUUCCUGCUAACCGUUUAACGAUGAAGCAUCUGAAUGUAAAUUCAAGAAACAAAACUUUGACUGUUAAGCAUAAGAAAGGCUUGACAUUGUCUUGCUCAGGUCUCAUGUUGGUUCAUGUCUUAAAUAGGGCAUCACUAGGCCUCUUGUGUGGUUAGGGACCUGUUGUGAGGUUAGAGUAGGAAGAAAAUUCAGAUUAGUAGCUGGACAUACACAUGGUUAGUGACCCUGGUUGGAAUAUAGGCCACUGGCUGAGAGUAGCAGGUGAUCCAUGGAACGACACUUGAAUGCACAGCUACUAGUUCUCACUGUACAUACAUAUAUCAAUUCAUCACCUCGACGAACUGUUGCAUCAUCCAUCAGGAGAUGGAUUGUGUCCUGGUUGAGUUCUUCCAAAGUUGUGGUUAGCAUUCAGCAGCUGAUGUGCAUGGGCCUGAAGGACCUGGAGGGGGUGGUGUCUAGUACAACCUUGGUGUCCUUGAUUUCCGGGUGAUCCUGGUUUUGGGGGACCUUGAUUAGGCGGCUUCUUCAGAUCCUGGAAUACACUAUUGGUCAGAGAAGUCCUUGUGGAUGCAAGAUGGACGAGACACCUCGGGCGGACACUCUCUGGCAAUGCAAUCACCCAGUUCACUGAGAUUUGCACUCUGCUGGAACAUAUUCUGCCAAACGCUGACGUCCCCGACUUGGUGACUUGGAAGUUGGACGGAUGAUGGAUCCUUUUCGGUUGCAUCUGCGUACGCAAUUCAGUUCGAAGGUGCAACCUGCUGCAGCUCAGUCCCUGGCUGGGAAAUCAGAUUCCAGAUUUUUUCAUGGCUCGCUGUCCGUGGCAAGUGUGAUAUCAGAUAACCCGCUGAAGCAUGCUGGACUUGCAAUCUCAUGUGCUCGCUUUGCAGAAUUAUGCCCGAGAUUUCAGUGCACAUCUGACUCAGCCUAUUCCGUUCCAGAGCCUCAUUGUCAGGCUUGGAGGUCUCUUCUGUUGGUUUGGUGGUUAACAUGGAAGGAGCGUAAUGAGAGGGUGUUCAGAAGCAAGGCUAGUUCAUUCUAGGUGUUCGCCCAAAAUCAUAGAGGAGCUAUCAGUGUGGUGUCAGGCCGGACGCAACAGAACCAGGAAGCUGAUAGACACAUCCCGAGAGCGGGACUGAAUUUAGUUAGCCAGGUAGUUUUCACCGCGGUUUUUCCUGAUCGCUUUGGAGUAGCUGUUUCUGUCUUUUUUUUUCUACAACUAGUAGCCGCUUGUAUCUUCGUUAAGCGAUGUACCCUUGUAAAACUCCCUUUUUCCUCUAGUAAUGAUGAAUGAAAAGCUGCGCUGGGUUCAUCGGGCACCCAGCUUUUGUUA